GCUGGGCAUGGUGGUGCAUGCCUGUAAUCCCAGUGGCUUGGGAAGCUGGGGCAGGAGGAUCACAAGUUCAAAGCCAGCCUCAUCAAAUUAGCAAAGCCCUAAGCAACUUAAUGAGACCCUGUCUCUA
This 127-nucleotide small RNA is filed under the name Marmota monax (woodchuck). The record is from RNAcentral. Lineage: Eukaryota; Metazoa; Chordata; Mammalia; Rodentia; Sciuridae.